Molecule: ribosomal RNA, 253 nt
Filed under: uncultured bacterium
Lineage: Bacteria
Description: partial 16S ribosomal RNA
Rfam family: Bacterial small subunit ribosomal RNA
Source: RNAcentral
UACGGGGGGGGCAAGCGUUGUUCGGAAUUACUGGGCGUAAAGGGCUCGUAGGUGGCCAACUAAGUCAGACGUGAAAUCCCUCAGCUUAACUGGGGAACUGCGUCUGAUACUGGAUGGCUUGAGUUUGGGAGAGGGAUGCGGAAUUCCAGGUGUAGCGGUGAAAUGCGUAGAUAUCUGGAGGAACACCGGUGGCGAAGGCGGCAUCCUGGACCAAAUCUGACGCUGAGGAGCGAAAGCCAGGGGAGCAAACGGG